RNAcentral lists this long non-coding RNA (639 nucleotides) under Elaeis guineensis (African oil palm). Its description in RNAcentral is "long non-coding RNA (EGUI_LNC079975)". Lineage: Eukaryota; Viridiplantae; Streptophyta; Magnoliopsida; Arecales; Arecaceae. The record is from RNAcentral.
AUCAAGUUUAGGUCAGCACAUUCAUAUGUCUGAUCUUUUUUAUCGGCAUGGGUGAACUCGAGUCAACAAGUAACCUAGUAUGAAAUUGAAUCUCCCAAAAUGGAUAGGUAAGUUAAGAUGAGUAGGGAUCCCCCCAUUGCUUUCCUCAGACACCAACAAAUUGGUCAGGUCAGACAAUAGAAUCAACUAAAUAACCAUCAUUUAGAUACUUGCCUUAGACACGAAAUUGGUCGAUUAGAAUUAAUCAAGUUAACCUAUUGAAACGAGUCUGAACCAUUGAGCUAAAUUAGAUCUUGAGUUAAUCAAUCACAUCAAAAUAUGAAUCGAUGCGACCAACUAUAACUAAAAAUAACUUUGAGCCCUUUUGACCUAAUCCUAACUAACAAUUGAUUAGGUUCAUUCAACUGCUCAAAAUCGAUAAUGGGUUCUAGUCUGAUCGAAUCAAUUGAUCCUAAUCGUAGUUUGAUCACUAGAUCUAAUUUGUUCAACCCAUACCCACAUGCAAUAACAUAAUUUUUAAAUUCUAAAAAUAUUUUUUAAAUUUAUUUCAUUGCAUGCAUUAGUAGCUUAUGAUCUUGAAAUAAUUUUAAAUCUAAACCUAAUGUUAUAUAUCACAUAUAUCAAGUUUUAGAUCUAAAC